UACGGAAGGUGCAAGCGUUAAUCGGAAUUACUGGGCGUAAAGAGCGUGUAGGCGGCCAUGUAGGUCCGGUGUGAAAACUCGAGGCUUAACCUCGAGAUGUCAUCGGAAACCAUUUGGCUAGAGUCCGGAAGAGGAGAGUGGAAUUCUCGGUGUAGAGGUGAAAUUCGUAGAUAUCGAGAGGAACACCGGUGGCGAAGGCGGCCAACUGGACGAAUACUGACGCUGAGACUCGAAAGCGUGGGGAGCAAACAGG
RNAcentral lists this ribosomal RNA (253 nucleotides) under uncultured bacterium. Its description in RNAcentral is "partial 16S ribosomal RNA". It matches the Rfam family "Bacterial small subunit ribosomal RNA", at positions 524 to 776 of the family's 1533-position model. The record is from RNAcentral.